Molecule: long non-coding RNA, 1355 nt
Organism: Homo sapiens (human)
Lineage: Eukaryota; Metazoa; Chordata; Mammalia; Primates; Hominidae
Source: Ensembl
UCGAUCAGCCCGAAACUUCAACAUCUUUUUGGCAGCUCCGUCCCCAGUUUGGCAGCCUCAGAGGACCCGCCGGCCACCCUGAUCCUACCAUGCCUCUGAGAAGCUCCUGAGCUGAAAAUCAACUUGCUUCUCAGAGAUCCUUCAGAUCCUGUGGGCAUAAGGGUUAAAUGAAGCUCCCGAUUCAUCUGCUGUUAUUGCUGCCGCUGCUGAGAAGCUGAGAUUGAUUGAGCAGUUCUCCCUUCUCUUCGGUCAGCCUGCCCAGCCUUCUUCUGUGUGGACAGGAGCAUAAUGAAUGAAGGUCCUCUGCCCCUGUCCCUCCGACUUGCUCCCCUCAGACAGCACGGGGUUGCUUUCCCUCCCUGUGUGGCAGUCCUACCGAUGAGAAGCAAGUCGACCAGAUGGGCGUGGAUGCUGUGGAACCAGAGCUGGUGGCUAGGAUGGGGCUGCUCAGGCAAUAUUAAAGGAGAGCUUCCUCUCAAGGCUUGCAAGGAAGAGGGCAGCAAAUGGGGCUUGAGAGGGGGUCACUGUGUGUUUAUGGCUGAAAAUCUUCCCAGACACGAGAUGAUACAUUCCAGCUGGGGACUGUCAGAUCUGCUCAGAAGCAAGGAGGUUUGUAUCGAUGUUAAUUCCCCUGAAUUCUUCAGCGGCUAAAGAUGGUCAGCGCUCCCCCCUUUCCUAAUGUCCUUCAUGUCUUAGGAUCCUUGGACUGCAAGGGCCUUCCGAAGGUCAUCGCUGCCAUCCCCCUGCUUCUAGGCAAGCCUGUUCUCCAAUCAAUCCUCAUUAAGUUCCUUGGUUUUCUGUAAAGAGUUCUAGCAAAGGAGGCUCCAGACCCACUGCUAUCUUAUCCUGCCAAGAUGUUCUUUUUGAUAUCACGUUUCAGUUCCUCUGGCUUUCUAUAUUAUUCCAUUUUGUCUUCACAUGACAGAUUCCUUUUUUGACCAACGUGGUUCUUUUUAGCAGCACCAGGCAGUCUGUUGACAUCACAGUCUGUUGCUAUGGCAAUUCUGUGAUGUCACAACAGACACUGAAAGGAAGGGGCUAAUCUAAUUUUUUGGAUCGAGCAAGAACUUGAUUGGGGAAUAAUGUGAUCAGUGAAUGGAAAAGCAAAUGGACAACAUUAUUAUUUAACCCAUAAUGAGACAAGUUGGUAGGAUGUAACUGGGGUCAACCGCUGCUGAUAUUUAAACAGCUUAAUCUUAAAUCCAGAAGGUCAAUAUAUUCAGCUAUUUCGUGGGACUUUUGCAAAUGAUUUAUCCUGGUGACAGGAGGCCUCGGUUUUCAGAUCACAUCCUUUCCCUGUCCCUAAUCCAGUUUCUUGGGCCCUCUCCUGAUGCCGGCUUGAGGUUCCUGCCCAU